CCUUCGGGGUGCUCGAGUGGCGAACGGGUGAGUAACACGUGGGUGAUCUGCCCUGCACUUUGGGAUAAGCCUGGGAAACUGGGUCUAAUACCGAAUAUGAUCACNNNNNNNANNNNCUGUGGUGGAAAGCUUUUGCGGUGUGGGAUGGGCCCGCGGCCUAUCAGCUUGUUGGUGGGGUAAUGGCCUACCAAGGCGACGACGGGUAGCCGGCCUGAGAGGGUGACCGGCCACACUGGGACUGAGAUACGGCCCAGACUCCUACGGGAGGCAGCAGUGGGGAAUAUUGCACAAUGGGCGCAAGCCUGAUGCAGCGACGCCGCGUGAGGGAUGACGGCCUUCGGGUUGUAAACCUCUUUCAGCACAGACGAAGCGCAAGUGACGGUAUGUGCAGAAGAAGGACCGGCCAACUACGUGCCAGCAGCCGCGGUAAUACGUAGGGUCCGAGCGUUGUCCGGAAUUACUGGGCGUAAAGAGCUCGUAGGUGGUUUGUCGCGUUGUUCGUGAAAACUCACAGCUUAACUGUGGGCGUGCGGGCGAUACGGGCAGACUGGAGUACUGCAGGGGAGACUGGAAUUCCUGGUGUAGCGGUGGAAUGCGCAGAUAUCAGGAGGAACACCGGUGGCGAAGGCGGGUCUCUGGGCAGUAACUGACGCUGAGGAGCGAAAGCGUGGGGAGCGAACAGGAUUAGAUACCCUGGUAGUCCACGCCGUAAACGGUGGGUACUAGGUGUGGGUUCCUUCCUUGGGAUCCGUGCCGUAGCUAACGCAUUAAGUACCCCGCCUGGGGAGUACGGCCGCAAGGCUAAAACUCAAAGGAAUUGACGGGGGCCCGCACAAGCGGCGGAGCAUGUGGAUUAAUUCGAUGCAACGCGAAGAACCUUACCUGGGUUUGACAUGCACAGGACGCCGGCAGAGAUGUCGGUUCCCUUGUGGCCUGUGCGCAGGUGGUGCAUGGCUGUCGUCAGCUCGUGUCGUGAGAUGUUGGGUUAAGUCCCGCAACGAGCGCAACCCUUGUCCUAUGUUGCCAGCGGGUUAUGCCGGGGACUCGUAGGAGACUGCCGGGGUCAACUCGGAGGAAGGUGGGGAUGACGUCAAGUCAUCAUGCCCCUUAUGUCCAGGGCUUCACACAUGCUACAAUGGCCGGUACAAAGGGCUGCGAUGCCGUGAGGUGGAGCGAAUCCUUUCAAAGCCGGUCUCAGUUCGGAUCGGGGUCUGCAACUCGACCCCGUGAAGUCGGAGUCGCUAGUAAUCGCAGAUCAGCAACGCUGCGGUGAAUACGUUCCCGGGCCUUGUACACACCGCCCGUCACGUCAUGAAAGU
RNAcentral lists this ribosomal RNA (1319 nucleotides) under uncultured bacterium. RNAcentral describes it as "bacterial SSU rRNA". It matches the Rfam family "Bacterial small subunit ribosomal RNA", at positions 77 to 1411 of the family's 1533-position model. The record is from RNAcentral.